CUGAGGUCUGAGGCUGCUGAGGCUGAGGAUGCUUCUGGAACUCGGGACUCGGGGAAGGUUGGCUAGGGUUGAAAGUUGAAAACUUGAACUGACGGUUGAGAUUGGAUGGAGAGAUGAUAUUAAAUCUCGUCCGUCCAAUCUAACACAAACGGGCGUGUCCGGGUACCCACGGAUCCUAUAAUUUUGGAACCGGCCUGCCCCUAAAACUUCAAUUACCCGGCCCGCCCCGCCCCGAUCU
This 238-nucleotide long non-coding RNA is filed under the name Malus domestica (apple). Its description in RNAcentral is "long non-coding RNA (MDOM_LNC014947)". The record is from RNAcentral. Lineage: Eukaryota; Viridiplantae; Streptophyta; Magnoliopsida; Rosales; Rosaceae.